Non-coding RNA from Jatropha curcas, 516 nucleotides. NCBI's taxonomy places the organism in Eukaryota, Viridiplantae, Streptophyta, Magnoliopsida, Malpighiales, Euphorbiaceae. The record is from RefSeq and is a predicted model, not a curated record.
AGGCCAUGUGAGAGGACGACUCGUCGGGGUUUUCAGUGGCGCCACUGCUAAUUUUCACUUGUUUGAUUAUUUGAAGAUGAAAUUAUUUGUGAGUGCUGAUGUUCUGUCGUAUGCUUGACUGGUUGUGUGUUCACUUCAGUAUUUUAGGAUGCAUUUUGUGUGAAUAUGUGUGAUAUGCAUUAUUUAUUAUUAUUCACUGAGUUACAAAACUCACUCUUUUUUUAUUUAUUUAACUUGUCAGGAAGUAGAAUCCCUACCGGUCCGUUUGAAGCUCUGUAAUCUUCUCCGCGGGACUGUAGAAGUAAAUUUCUAAUUUUAUAUUUAUCUAAUUUAGGUAUUGUUAUAUGUAAGAGUUUCACUACUUCUAGCUAUUAUUGAAUUCCGCAGUUUUAGGAUUUUAUGUAUCACUAAUCUUGUUUUAAUAGGUGUACUAAGCUAUGAAUGUCCUAAAUAUUUAUCUAAGAUACAUAUGAAUCAGUAGCCUAUAUUAUGAAUGAGGUAUACUAUUGGUUGGCC